UUUCCUUCCUCCUAUUUGGAGAGAAUAGACAGAGAAGAAAAAGAUCGUAGCUUUGGUGUAUUCUUUGGGCUGAGCUGAGAGGGAAGUAACGGUGAAAAGAUUUAUCUGUAACUCCAAUGGUUCAAUUGCUGUAAUCUCGUGUAAUAAGCAAGAAACAAGAAAAAGUUAUCUUCAUUUUUGUUCGUGUAAACACUUUGAAAAAUUCCAGCCGUUGUCCAUAGAGACAGAGAGAGAGAGAAGAGAGAAGGUUUCUGUAGUUGCAAAGAAUGAAGAAUCAACCAACAUGAAUUGAAGUGCAAACCCACCCCCAGAUUCUCUGAGAAUUUCCAUUUUGCCCUUCCAAGUUCCAAUUCUAGCCUCAACUUGUUCCCUCUCUUGUUCUAUUUUUUUUUCUUUUUUCUUUUUUAAUAAUAAUUUAUGAACAUGUAAAUUUUUAUGGCUUGGUGAAUCCUGAAUUUUUCUAUUAACUGUGAAGGAUUGAUAUGCUUUAAUCUUUAUUGCGUUGAAAGUGUCGUGAAUUCAAGCCCUUUCUUUUUCUUUUCUUUUUAAUUAGAUACCAAUUUAGUGGAUGAAUCUAAACUUUGAAAGCGAAGUCUUUGAUACCAAUUUGUGUUUUUUUCUAUUUGGUUUUUGAUGCAAGAAAAGAGAAUGAAUAUUUUUUAUACUUUCUAUUUUAUGUUAUGGGAUUAUUCGUUUUCAUAUUGGAAUUGAUGCUGUUGUCGGAGCAAUUUGGAUGGUUGAAUCUAGUGAAUAUAUCAUCAAAUAUCAAAUCUUUUGUAAUGGCAGAACUUGGUGGUUUGAUCAUAAUGCAGUCUGGUGAAGCCCCUGCUUCAAUGGAUGUAGAAGAAAUCCCAAAUGGAUUGGGGACAAAAUCUGCGUCUUUGCCAUCUAAGCCAAAGUUUGAGCCUUUGAAGGCUCAUGAGAUGUCUGACGGUCGAGUUCAGUUCAGAAAGGUUUCAGUUCCACCACACAGGUAUUCGCCACUCAAGAAGGCAUGGAUGGAAAUCUACACUCCAAUAUAUGAGCAGAUGAAGAUUGAUAUCCGUAUGAAUCUCAAAGCUAGAAAGAUUGAAUUAAAAACCCGACCAGAUACACCCGACAUCAGCAACCUACAGAAGUGUGCAGAUUUUGCACAUGCUUUCAUGUUAGGUUUUGAUGUUAUAGAUGCUAUUGCUCUUUUGCGAUUGGAUGAGCUAUAUGUGGAAUCUUUUGAAAUCAAAGAUGUUAAGACUGUCAGAGGUGAGCAUUUAUCUCGAGCCAUUGGGAGAUUGUCAGGUAAAGGUGGAAAAACAAAGUUUGCCAUUGAGAAUGCCACAAAAACAAGGAUUGUGAUUGCUGAUACCAAGAUUCACAUAUUAGGAUCUUUUCAAAACAUUAAAAUUGCAAGGGAUUCUCUCUGUAGCCUUAUUUUAGGGUCCCCUGCUGGUAAGGUAUACUCAAAGCUUAGACAAGUUACUGCUAGACUAGCAGAGAGGUUUUAAUUUUUUUUUUUUUAUUCAUGUUAUUUUGAGACUAUUUAGCUCCAUACUGAGAUCUGUUAUGCUGAGUGGGAAUUUGUGAUUGUAACUGGGCGUGAAUUUUCUGUAUAAGAGGCCUUGUUGUAAGCUGCAAAAAUGAUUCAUUAUAAAGGAUAUGAAUAUCAUUCAUUUUUAUGGGUUAUUUAUUGAUAGUUGAUAAUGGAUUUAACUUC
RNAcentral lists this unclassified non-coding RNA (1690 nucleotides) under Hevea brasiliensis (rubber tree). Lineage: Eukaryota; Viridiplantae; Streptophyta; Magnoliopsida; Malpighiales; Euphorbiaceae. The record is from RNAcentral.